AUUGAACGCUGGCGGAAUGCUUUACACAUGCAAGUCGAACGGCAGCACGGACUUCGGUCUGGUGGCGAGUGGCGAACGGGUGAGUAAUGUAUCGGAACGUGCCCAGUCGUGGGGGAUAACGUAGUGAAAAUUACGCUAAUACCGCAUACGAUCUAUGGAUGAAAGCGGGGGAUCGCAAGACCUCGCGCGAUUGGAGCGGCCGAUAUCAGAUUAGGUAGUUGGUGGGGGAAAGGCCCACCAAGCCAACGAUCUGUAGCUGGUCUGAGACGACGACCAGCCAACCUGGAACUGAGACACGGUCCAGGCUCCUACGGGAGGCAGCAGUGGGGAAUUUUGGACAAUGGGCGAAAGCCUGAUCCAGCCAUUCCGCGUGCAGGAUGAAGGCCCUCGGGUUGUAAACUGCUUUUGUACAGAACGAAAAGGUUUCUACUAAUACUAGGAGCUCAUGACGGUACUGUAAGAAUAAGCACCGGCUAACUACGUGCCAGCCGCCGCGGUAA
RNAcentral lists this ribosomal RNA (500 nucleotides) under uncultured bacterium. Its description in RNAcentral is "partial 16S ribosomal RNA". It matches the Rfam family "Bacterial small subunit ribosomal RNA", at positions 30 to 523 of the family's 1533-position model. The record is from RNAcentral.